This is a non-coding RNA of Ilyonectria robusta, 143 nucleotides long. The record is from the annotation of a RefSeq genome assembly. NCBI's taxonomy places the organism in Eukaryota, Fungi, Ascomycota, Sordariomycetes, Hypocreales, Nectriaceae.
GGCCGCGUGGCCUAAUGGCUAAGGCGCUAGAUUUCGGUUCACCGAUGUCACCAAUUCUCUAGAGAUUCCAGGUUAGUUCUACGUAACACCAAUCAUAUCUGCCCAACUAACAAUUGCCAUAGGUUCGACUCCUGGCGUGGUCG